UAACGCGUGAGUAACCUGCCUUACACAAGGGGAUAGCCUCUGGAAACGGAGAAUAAUACCCUAUGAAAUUACAUUCUCGCAUGAGGAAAUAAUCAAAAUGUUUAGUGGUGUAAGAUGGACUUGCGUCUGAUUAGCUAGUUGGUGAGAUAAAAGCUCACCAAGGCAACGAUCAGUAGCCGGCUUGAGAGAGUGUACGGCCACAUUGGGACUGAGACACGGCCCAG
Molecule: ribosomal RNA, 224 nt
Filed under: uncultured Eubacteriales bacterium
Lineage: Bacteria; Bacillati; Bacillota; Clostridia; Eubacteriales
Description: uncultured Clostridiales bacterium partial 16S ribosomal RNA
Rfam family: Bacterial small subunit ribosomal RNA
Source: RNAcentral